GGUCAAAAAAAUAAGGUUAAGUUAAUAAGGGCGCACGGUGGAUGCCUUGGCACUAGGAGCCGAAGAAGGACGUGACAAACGACGAUAUGCCUUGGGUAGCUGUAAGUAAGCGAUGAUCCAGGGAUUUCCGAAUGGGGGAACCCAACAGGUACUACCUGUUACCCAUAUCUGUUAAGGAUAUGAGGAGGAAGACGCAGUGAACUGAAACAUCUAAGUAGCUGCAGGAAGAGAAAGCAAAAGCGAUUGCCUUAGUAGCGGCGAGCGAAACGGCAGAAGGGCAAACCGAAGAGUUUACUCUUCGGGGUUGUAGGACUGCAAUGUGGACUCAAAGACUAUAGAAGAAUGAUUUGGGAAGAUCAGCCAAAGAGAGUGAUAGCCUCGUAUUUAAAAUAGUCUUUGUACCUAGCAGUAUCCUGAGUACGGCGGGACACGUGAAAUCCCGUCGGAAUCUGGGAGGACCAUCUCCCAACCCUAAAUACUCCCUAGUGACCGAUAGUGAACCAGUACCGUGAGGGAAAGGUGAAAAGCACCCCGGG
Molecule: ribosomal RNA, 536 nt
Filed under: Streptococcus sp. HMSC074B11
Lineage: Bacteria; Bacillati; Bacillota; Bacilli; Lactobacillales; Streptococcaceae
Description: bacterial LSU rRNA
Rfam family: Bacterial large subunit ribosomal RNA
Source: RNAcentral